UGAACUCUUCAAAACUCAGCUAGGCUUACUUACACCCCUAUGCCCAGCUUAGAUGGUUACAUGUUGUCCAUGUGUUACACGUUCUCAGGCUCGAGACUUCAUGCAUGCAAGCUUCAAUAAAUUCUUUUAGUAAGUUGAACAAACUGUUUAAUGUUGGCCGGAUUGAUUGAGUUGACUCCGAUUUUUCACAAAUAGAGUUUG
This 201-nucleotide unclassified non-coding RNA is filed under the name Hevea brasiliensis (rubber tree). Lineage: Eukaryota; Viridiplantae; Streptophyta; Magnoliopsida; Malpighiales; Euphorbiaceae. The record is from RNAcentral.